Molecule: ribosomal RNA, 506 nt
Filed under: uncultured bacterium
Lineage: Bacteria
Description: partial 16S ribosomal RNA
Rfam family: Bacterial small subunit ribosomal RNA
Source: RNAcentral
AUUGAACGCUGGCGGCAGGCCUAACACAUGCAAGUCGGACGGUAGCACAGAGGAGCUUGCUCCUCGGGUGACGAGUGGCGGACGGGUGAGUAAUGUCUGGGGAUCUGCCCGAUAGAGGGGGAUAACCACUGGAAACGGUGGCUAAUACCGCAUAACGUCGCAAGACCAAAGAGGGGGACCUUCGGGCCUCUCACUAUCGGAUGAACCCAGAUGGGAUUAGCUAGUAGGCGGGGUAAUGGCCCACCUAGGCGACGAUCCCUAGCUGGUCCGAGAGGAGGACCAGCCGAGCUGGAACUGAGACACGGGCCAGACUCCUACGGGAGGGAGCAGUGGGGAAUAUUGCACAAUGGGCGCAAGCCUGAUGCGGCCAUGCCGGGUGUAUGAAGAAGGCCUUCGGGUUGUAAAGUACUUUCAGCGGGGAGGAAGGCGGUGAGGUUAAUAACCUUGCCGAUUGACGUUACCCGCAGAAGAAGCACCGGCUAACUCCGUGCCAGCAGCCGCGGUAA